Molecule: microRNA precursor, 98 nt
Filed under: Loxodonta africana (African savanna elephant)
Lineage: Eukaryota; Metazoa; Chordata; Mammalia; Proboscidea; Elephantidae
Description: mir-544 microRNA precursor family
Rfam family: mir-544 microRNA precursor family
Source: Rfam by way of RNAcentral
AUCACCCGGGGAUCUUGUUAACAUGCAGACUCUGAUUCGGGAGGUUUGGGGUGGGGCCCAAGAUGCUGCCUUUGUAACAGGCUCCCAGGUGAUGCUGA